UGAGACAGAAUAUUUAUUGCUUUAUUAUAGCUUUGCAUUAUAUUCAAUGAAAGACAGAAAAGGUGGAAACUAGGUGGCAACUAGUGGAAAAUGGCUGUACUAGCUGAAUCUGAAAAGAUCAUUUUUAAAUGUGUCUGCAGUUUAUUAUUUCUGCAUGAGAGAAAGUUGGUUAAAGAUAAGAUUAAUGAUAGAUCAAGUUACAAGCUCCCACACAAAUGUAUAGAAACAACCCCAGGUGGAAUUUGGGUCAGUUAAGAUUUAUAUAUGCAGGCAAACAUCAGAUCAGAUGCAAAGAAAUAGUUCUUGCCUAUUCUCUUCAUUAAUUGAAAAAAAAAGAAGUGUUUAUAAAAAGGAUGUUUUUACAAUAGCUUUUCAACUUAAGGAUUUGACACCUUCUUUAGCUGACCAAGAAAGUGUAUGUGUGGAAUCAAUUUAUCUGUGUAGUAAUACCAAAUUUUGAAAUCUGGCAUUUGAUGAGUCAGCCUGGGAGAAACUGGAAACACAUUUUGAGAGGUAACAAUAUUAUACUGUUUUUUUUUUUUUUUUAAUUAUUACUGUCUUUAACAUUGUCUUAAUUACUCUUAACAAAUACUUGAAUUUGAAACAACAUUUACCAAACUGCUUUGAAUUAAAGUCAAAAAAUCUCCUUCUAUGUCUUAGGAAGUUUGGCAGAUGGAUAAAUCCCAGAUAUAUUUUCUGGAAUAUAGCUCAAUCAUGUUUAUAACACUGUUUGUAAAAUUGUAUCAUUUUGUAAUUAUUUACAUUAUUGAUUAGCACUUAGGAUACAAUAUGUACUUUAAACUGUUCAUACCAGGUACCUUCUGUGAAAAAAGUGCAACUUUGUGACAUGAUAUGCCUGCCUGACUGUAUAUACCUGAGUAGCACACAGCUUAUUACUGCAUAAAAGAAACAUAUCAAGAUAAUUUUGAAUCAGAUUGUGUGCUGGAAAAAUGGCCUUACAUCCAAAGGAGUGAAAUUUGGAGAGUCAUUCGCCAUCUACUUAAGCCAUCCUGGAAUAUGAAAAAAUAAGACUGCACUGACAACAUCCUGAUCCUCGUGUUCAGAUCUUUUGUGAUUUCUUGUGAAGAGUCUUUGAUUUUUCAUAAAAAUAAAAAAUAUAUUAAUAUAAUUUGA
Molecule: long non-coding RNA, 1134 nt
Organism: Mercenaria mercenaria
Lineage: Eukaryota; Metazoa; Mollusca; Bivalvia; Venerida; Veneridae
Exons: 2
Source: RefSeq, a predicted model, not a curated record